AACGAACGCUGGCGGCAUGCCUAACACAUGCAAGUCGAACGCGACCUUAGGGGCUCGUGGCGCACGGGUGUGUAACGUGUGAAAACAUGCCUUUCGGCUCGGAAUCACCCCGCGAAAGGGGUGAUAAUACAGGAUAACGUUUUCGGACCAAAGAUUUAUCGUCUUUGGAUGGGCCCGCGUUGGAUUAGCUAGUUGGUGGGGUAAAAGCCUACCAAGGCGACGAUCCAUAGCUGGUCUGAGAGGAUGAUCAGCCACACUGGGACUGAGACACGGCCCAAACUCCUACGGGAAGCAGCAGUGGGGAAUAUUGGACAAUGGGCGAAAGCCUGAUCCAGCAAUGCCGCGUGAGUGAUGAAGGCCUUAGGGUUGUAAAGCUCUUUUACCGGGGAUGAUAAUGACAGUACCGGGAGAAGAAGCUCCGGCUAACUCCGUG
RNAcentral lists this ribosomal RNA (433 nucleotides) under uncultured bacterium. Its description in RNAcentral is "partial 16S ribosomal RNA". It matches the Rfam family "Bacterial small subunit ribosomal RNA", at positions 29 to 507 of the family's 1533-position model. The record is from RNAcentral.